UCCUGGAGCGAGAGACCGCGCGAGCCGGGCUAGAAAGAAGUGGGCGCCGGCCGAGGCGGGCAAGCGGCGCGCCCACCAGCUGGCGCGCGUGCGCAUAAGCGUUUCCUUCACUUUCCCUAUUUUUUGCCCUCUCUCUCCUCUAUUACCCUCUUAGCUCUCCUUUGAGAGCCUUUCCUUCUCUCUCCCAUCGUUUUUCGUGUGCCCAGCUGCCAAUCAAGCUACCCACCUCUCUAUUUGCGGGGGAAGGGAGGCGGGACUCAACCCCCUCUAUUACUAGGGGGGUUGUUAUGGUGUUCUGCACAAAGGAACUGUUUGGGGAGUUAUUCCCUGGCUGAUCAUUGGAAUGGAGCAAGGCGGAAAGGAACAGGAAACUAUCCAAUCACUUCAGAUCCUGCUCUGGUCACCUUAGAUCUAGUGAUGUUGGCACAGCACCCCAGCCAUUAGGCUCACUGGAGACUAGCAACUCCAAGUCAGGCAUAUGUAUGCAUGCCUAUAACCCAGCACUCAUGGAAGCAGAGGCAGGAGGAUCAAACUUUUGAGCCCAGGC
Non-coding RNA from Heterocephalus glaber (naked mole-rat), 547 nucleotides. Lineage: Eukaryota; Metazoa; Chordata; Mammalia; Rodentia; Bathyergidae. The record is from RefSeq and is a predicted model, not a curated record.